UACGUAGGGGGCUAGCGUUGUCCGGAAUCAUUGGGCGUAAAGAGCGUGUAGGCGGCCGGGUAAGUCCGGUGUGAAAACUCGAGGCUUAACCUCGAGAUGUCAUCGGAAACUAUUCGGCUAGAGUCCGGAAGAGGAGAGUGGAAUUCCUGGUGUAGCGGUGAAAUGCGCAGAUAUCAGGAAGAACACCUAUGGCGAAAGCAGCUCUCUGGGACGGUACUGACGCUGAGACGCGAAAGCGUGGGGAGCGAACAGG
RNAcentral lists this ribosomal RNA (253 nucleotides) under uncultured bacterium. RNAcentral describes it as "partial 16S ribosomal RNA". It matches the Rfam family "Bacterial small subunit ribosomal RNA", at positions 524 to 776 of the family's 1533-position model. The record is from RNAcentral.